CCUACGGGAGGCUGCAGUGGGGAAUAUUGGACAAUGGGGGGAACCCUGAUCCAGCCAUGCCGCGUGUGUGAAGAAGGCCCUCGGGUUGUAAAGCACUUUCAGUGAGGAAGAACGCCUGGUGGUUAAUACCCAUCAGGAAAGACAUCACUCACAGAAGAAGCACCGGCUAACUCCGUGCCAGCAGCCGCGGUAAUACGGAGGGUGCGAGCGUUAAUCGGAAUUACUGGGCGUAAAGCGCGCGUAGGUGGCUUGAUAAGCCGGUUGUGAAAGCCCCGGGCCCAACCUGGGAACGGCAUCCGGAACUGCCAAGCUAGGUUGCAGGAGGGAAAGGUGGAAUUCCCGUUGUAGCGGUGAAAGGCGUAGAGAUCGGGAGGAAUACCAGUGCGAAAGGCGCCUUUCUGGAUGGCCACUGCCCCGAGGUGCGAAAGCGUGGGUAGCAAACAGGAUUAGAUACCCCUGUAGUC
RNAcentral lists this ribosomal RNA (464 nucleotides) under Vreelandella stevensii. Its description in RNAcentral is "partial 16S ribosomal RNA". It matches the Rfam family "Bacterial small subunit ribosomal RNA", at positions 338 to 795 of the family's 1533-position model. Lineage: Bacteria; Pseudomonadati; Pseudomonadota; Gammaproteobacteria; Oceanospirillales; Halomonadaceae. The record is from RNAcentral.